CAGUAGCCGCGGUAAAACGAAGGGGGCUAGCGUUACUCGGAAUUACUGGGCGUAAAGGGCGCGUAGGCGGCACGAUUAGUCAGGCGUGAAAUUCCUGGGCUCAACCUGGGGACUGCGCUUGAUACGGUCGAGCUAGAGGAUGGAAGAGGGUUGUGGAAUUCCCAGUGUAGAGGUGAAAUUCGUAGAUAUUGGGAAGAACACCGGUGGCGAAGGCGGCAACCUGGUCCAUUACUGACGCUGAGGCGCGACAGUGUGGGGAGCAAACAGGAUUAGAUACCCCCGUAGUCCCUGUCUCUUAUAC
This 301-nucleotide ribosomal RNA is filed under the name uncultured bacterium. Its description in RNAcentral is "partial 16S ribosomal RNA". It matches the Rfam family "Bacterial small subunit ribosomal RNA", at positions 509 to 807 of the family's 1533-position model. The record is from RNAcentral.